UAAGUUGGAGAUCCAACUAGAAAUAUAUCAACAUACAGUCAAAUGAAGCCUUCUCCUAGGAGUAACAGUUCAGGUGUCUGAGUACAUUCUAGCACUAUAAAGCAGCAUACAGACGAAUAAAACCAUCAUCUACCAGGGACAGGCAAAAUAAAUAAAAAUAACAUGUUAAGAAUCGCAGCAAAGAUGUCCAAAAGAUUUUCUUCCUUAAGGCAAGUAAUUUUCUAAAGUACUAUAAUUUAGGUAUAUAAAAUUAAAUUUUGUUUCUUUUGACCAAUGCAUAGUACAGAACAGCGGAAUUGAAAUUAUUGAUAAAACUCAACAAAGCAAGUCAAAUCUUUUUUUUUUUUUGUUUAGAUUUAUGCAUGCUAAUUUGAGAAUAUGUAUUAUGUUUCAAUAACAUUCUAAGAAUAUUUCUACUAAUGCUUUUGUAAUUUAUUUUCCACUUUUGCAUAAGUUUGAUAUAAGUUCAUCUCAUGGCAUAGCAUUUAUAGAGCACAAUCCUGAGUACGCAACUAUCUAAGUUCAUUUAAACACAAAUUUGGUUAGACAGCCCAAUGCUCUUUUCAUUCAUCUCAUAAUAUUCUUCAGAUCAAGUUGCAGAGAUCUAAAUGUUUCAUACAAGAAGAAAGAAAAAAAAAAAAAAAAGAGGCAUGCAGAGAAA
Long non-coding RNA from Biomphalaria glabrata, 661 nucleotides. RefSeq lists it as uncharacterized. NCBI's taxonomy places the organism in Eukaryota, Metazoa, Mollusca, Gastropoda, Planorbidae. The record is from RefSeq and is a predicted model, not a curated record. The transcript is spliced from 2 exons.